This 187-nucleotide ribosomal RNA is filed under the name uncultured bacterium. RNAcentral's name for it is "partial 16S ribosomal RNA". It matches the Rfam family "Bacterial small subunit ribosomal RNA", at positions 1314 to 1500 of the family's 1533-position model. The record is from RNAcentral.
GCCUGCAUGAAGUUGGAAUUGCUAGUAAUCGCGGAUCAGCAUGCCGCGGUGAAUACGUUCCCGGGGAUUGUACACACCGCCCGUCACACCAUGAGAGUCGGGAACACCCAAAGUCCGUAGUCUAACCGCAAGGAGGACGCGGCCUAAGGUGGGUUCGAUAAUUGGGGUGAAGUCGUAACAAGGUAUC